This 460-nucleotide ribosomal RNA is filed under the name uncultured bacterium. RNAcentral's name for it is "partial 16S ribosomal RNA". It matches the Rfam family "Bacterial small subunit ribosomal RNA", at positions 338 to 795 of the family's 1533-position model. The record is from RNAcentral.
CCUACGGGUGGCAGCAGUGAGGAAUAUUGGUCAAUGGACGAGAGUCUGACCCAGACACGUAGCGUGAAUGAUGACUGCCCUAUGGGUUGUAAGCUUCUUUUAUAAAGGAAUGAAACGAGGCACGUGUGCCUUUUUGCAUGUACUUUAUGAAUAAGGAUCGGCUAACUCCGUGCCAGCAGCCGCGGUAAUACGGAGGAUCCGAGCGUUAUCCGGGUUUAGUGGGUUUAAAGGGAGCGUAGAUGGGUUGUUAAGACGGUUGUGAAAGUUUGAGGCUCAACCUCGACAUUGCUACCGAUACUGGUGGCCUCGAGUACAGGUGAGGUAAAAGGAAUUCCUAGUGUAGCGGUGGAAUGCGUAGAUAUUAGGAGGAACACCGGUUGCGAAGGCAAGUUGCUGAACUGUAACUGACACUGAGGCACGAAAGCGUGGGGAGCAAACAGGAUUAGAUACCCGAGUAGUC